Molecule: ribosomal RNA, 496 nt
Filed under: uncultured bacterium
Lineage: Bacteria
Description: partial 16S ribosomal RNA
Rfam family: Bacterial small subunit ribosomal RNA
Source: RNAcentral
AUGAACGCUGGCGGCGUGCCUAAUCCCUGCCAGUCGAGCGAACAGAUGAGGAGCUUGCUCCUCUGACGUUAGCGGCGGACGGGUGAGUAACACGUGGAUAACCUACCUAUAAGACUGGGAUAACUUCGGGAAACCGGAGCUAAUACCGGAUAAUAUAUUGAACCGCAUGGUUCAAUAGUGAAAGACGGUUUUGCUGUCACUUAUAGAUGGAUCCGCGCCGCAUUAGCUAGUUGGUAAGGUAACGGCUUACCAAGGCAACGAUGCGUAGCCGACCUGAGAGGGUGAUCGGCCACACUGGAACUGAGACACGGUCCAGACUCCUACGGGAGGCAGCAGUAGGGAAUCUUCCGCAAUGGGCGAAAGCUUGACGGAGCAACGCCGCGUGAGUGAUGAAGGUCUUCGGAUCGUAAAACUCUGUUAUUAGGGAAGAACAAAUGUGUAAGUAACUAUGCACGUCUUGACGGUACCUAAUCAGAAAGCCACGGCUAACUACGUG